Molecule: ribosomal RNA, 468 nt
Filed under: uncultured bacterium
Lineage: Bacteria
Description: partial 16S ribosomal RNA
Rfam family: Bacterial small subunit ribosomal RNA
Source: RNAcentral
GACGAACGCUGGCGGCGUGCUUAACACGUGCAAGUCGAACGGAAAGGCCCUGCUUUUGUGGGGUGCUCGAGUGGCGAACGGGUGAGUAACACGUGAGUAACCUGCCCUUGACUUUGGGAUAACUUCAGGAAACUGGGGCUAAUACCGGAUAGGAGCUCCUGCUGCAUGGUGGGGGUUGGAAAGUUUCGGCGGUUGGGGAUGGACUCGCGGCUUAUCAGCUUGUUGGUGGGGUAGUGGCUUACCAAGGCUUUGACGGGUAGCCGGCCUGAGAGGGUGACCGGCCACAUUGGGACUGAGAUACGGCCCAGACUCCUACGGGAGGCAGCAGUGGGGAAUAUUGCACAAUGGGCGGAAGCCUGAUGCAGCAACGCCGCGUGCGGGAUGACGGCCUUCAGGUUGUAAACCGCUUUCGCCUGUGACGAAGCGUGAGUGACGGUAAUGGGUAAAGAAGCACCGGCUAACUACGUG